ACACAUAUGGAUCACAUUAGUUUACUGUAAAGCUACGUCUUAGUUGGUGCUUAUCUUGGCGAGAGCCGAGUUCAAAUCAGCAUGAAGUUUUAACAUCUGCUCUCAUGUAAUGGAAAUCAUAAAUAAUCUUUUCAUAUUUCCACAGAAAAUCCUACUGUUGAAAUAUGUGAUAGAGAUUCUGAGGUUAUAUUGAUGCACACAGAGAAUGAUGAUCUGGAUGAAACACUGCCAUGGAAGAAAGGUGCUUCAAAUCAAGCUGAGGCUGACCGAAGUGCACCACAGUCGUCAUCACAUACCGAGGCCCCAGGGAAGCAAUAGUAAUAUCUGCUAUAGGAACUACACUGAGGUAUUUGCACCGAUCCCUCUCAGUGAUGACAGCAGUGUUGAAGACACAGAAGAAACUGUGAUAGGUGAUAGGUAAGUAGGUUUUUUCUUUGGUUGGCCUAUUACUUUCAUGAUUUACAACAGUAAUAUAUACUUAAAAAAAUUGUUAACACUACCUGCCAACCAUUUCUUUAAUAUUAAUUAUUUUAAUUGGAUAUACAAAAUAUUAGGCUAUGCAAUAUUUGGAAAUUACUUAUUUUGUUUUUUGAUUCUUAGAGCUCAAGAAAGCCAUAUUACAGUAAGUAACAUCAUAGAAGAUUUAUUUCUUCAAGUCAAUAAUGCAGCCUGCAGUUGCUUUAUAAUUAAUAGAGCUGAUGUCUGGGGUGGAGCAAUGCGGGGUUUCCGUAGAAGUAACUAUGAACCCCAGAAUUCCAUGAUGGUGAAAUUUACGGAUGACUUUGGAGU
Molecule: long non-coding RNA, 789 nt
Organism: Acipenser ruthenus (sterlet)
Lineage: Eukaryota; Metazoa; Chordata; Actinopteri; Acipenseriformes; Acipenseridae
Exons: 3
Source: RefSeq, a predicted model, not a curated record